GGGGGGGUGGCUUUUGGGGCUCGAGCCCCGAAUGUUUUGUCAAAAGCCCCGAAUCUUUUCAGAUCUGUAAAAUGAAUUCAUCCAGGACGCUAGGUGGCGGCACUCAGCUUUAACUCUCCGGUCCCCCACUCAACUGAAAAUGAAUAAGAGAUGCGUGUACUUGUGCUGAAGGCAAAAUAACAUUCUGAAUCUCCCCACAGUAAACGCAUUUUCAAAGUGUCUUUAUUAUUACAGUGCCUUCGUUAUUACUGUAAGUGUAUAUUUAUAGUUAUGUGAUGUAAAUACUGUUAAAUAGCGUCAACUGAUAUAUUAUCUGCAUGGCUAACGUCUAACUUACUGUGGUGCUCUGGUCUAGUCUGCCUCAUUGGUCAUUGAUGGAUAUACGAUUUAUAUUUUUAAAGACGUCAGAAGUAAGAAGUGCAAAUAGGAAGAGAGGAGGGUGGAGAGAGAUCACAGACAGACAGAAAGAGAGAGAAACGCUUCCAUAAGCAGGUGAGAAAUUGUUCUGUCAAUGAAGUCAAAAAUUGUUAUUCUUAUGUAGCUUUAUAGUUACUGGAUUAGCCUUCAGCAAACAUGUUUGCCUAUUUUUGGAUAAGAGAAGUUAAAGUAUCAUUGUCAAAAUUUGUUAUGUUGCAG
Non-coding RNA from Misgurnus anguillicaudatus (oriental weatherfish), 636 nucleotides. NCBI's taxonomy places the organism in Eukaryota, Metazoa, Chordata, Actinopteri, Cypriniformes, Cobitidae. The record is from RefSeq and is a predicted model, not a curated record.